AUGGCAGCAGGCGCGAAAUUGUCACUCUUUUGAGAGGAGACAGUUAUGAAACGUGAGUAGAAGGGUCGAGUGUAAAAACCUUGACGUGAAGCAAUUGGAGGGCAAGUUUUGGUGCCAGCAGCCGCGGUAAUUCCAACUCCAAGAGUGUCUAUGGUGGAUGCUGCAGUUAAAGGGUCCGUAGUCGUAGAUGCAAUUAAAAGGUGGUGUUAAAAGCCAUUGAGUUUGUUGAGAGUAGCGGAACGGAUAGGGAGCAUGGUAUAGGUGGGCAAAGAAUGAAAUCUCAAGACCCCACCUGGACCAACGGAGGCGAAAGCGAUGCUCUUAGACGUAUCUGGGGAUCAAGGACGAAGGCUAGAGUAUCGAAAGUGAUUAGACACCGCUGUAGUUCUAGCAGUAAACUAUGCCGACAAUGCUGGGUGUUGCGAGAGCGAUGCUUGGUGUGGGAGAAAUCUUAGUUUUCGGGCUCUGGGGAUAGUACGCUCGCAAGGGUGAAACUUAAAGCGAAAUUGACGGAAGGACACUACCAGGAGUGGAUUGUGCUGCUUAAUUUAACUCAACGCGGGAAAACUUACCAGGGUCAAGUCUAUCGUAGAUUGGAGACAUGAGGUAGACAAGAGUGGUGCAUGGCCGUUGGAAAUUGAUGGGGCGACUUUUAGCUUAAGUGCUGGAACCAGUGAGAUCUUCUAGACAGGUGUUAUUUAGGCACAGGAGGGAGAAGGCAAUAACAGGUCCGUGAUGCCCUUAGAUAUCCUGGGCAGCAAGCGCAAUACAAUAUCUCUUGAGAAGACAAAGCAAUUUGAGAUGAGUAGGAUUAGCUUUUGUAAAUAAGCUAUGAAUGAGGAAUUCCUAGUAACAGUGUCUCAUCAAGGCAUUGUGAAUGUGUCCCUGUUCUUGUCCCCC
This 900-nucleotide ribosomal RNA is filed under the name Ecytonucleospora hepatopenaei. RNAcentral describes it as "bacterial SSU rRNA". It matches the Rfam family "Microsporidia small subunit ribosomal RNA", at positions 281 to 1191 of the family's 1311-position model. The record is from RNAcentral. Lineage: Eukaryota; Fungi; Microsporidia; Enterocytozoonidae.